AGAUUCUUCAACAUCUGCUAAUGUACAGAGCUUUAUUGUAAUGUAAGAUUUUUUUUAUUGACUAUGUGCAAAGAACUUUAAGACAAUAAGGCAAUUUUUGUGUUUCAUUGUGUUUUCUAUAAUAGAGUUUUGUUCUAAAUGUGUAUCCCAUUAAGGUUGGGACUUAGAGCUAGAGUUGUUAUACAAGUUUGUGAACCUUAGUUGGCCAUGUCUAGACAUGAGGGUGCUCUUUCUU
This 235-nucleotide long non-coding RNA is filed under the name Vitis vinifera (wine grape). Its description in RNAcentral is "long non-coding RNA (VVIN_LNC001818)". Lineage: Eukaryota; Viridiplantae; Streptophyta; Magnoliopsida; Vitales; Vitaceae. The record is from RNAcentral.